AGUGAACGCUGGCGGUAGGCCUAACACAUGCAAGUCGAACGGCAGCACAGUAAGAGCUUGCUCUUACGGGUGGCGAGUGGCGGACGGGUGAGGAAUACAUCGGAAUCUACUUUUUCGUGGGGGAUAACGUAGGGAAACUUACGCUAAUACCGCAUACGACCUACGGGUGAAAGCAGGGGAUCUUCGGACCUUGCGCGAUUGAAUGAGCCGAUGUCGGAUUAGCUAGUUGGCGGGGUAAAGGCCCACCAAGGCGACGAUCCGUAGCUGGUCUGAGAGGAUGAUCAGCCACACUGGAACCGAGACACGGUCCAGACUCCUACGGGAGGCAGCAGUGGGGAAUAUUGGACAAUGGGCGCAAUCCUGAUCCAGCCAUACCGCGUGGGUGAAGAAGGCCUUCGGGUUGUAAAGCCCUUUUGUUGGGAAAGAAAAGCAGCAGGUUAAUACCCCGCUGUUCUGACGGUACCCAAAGAAUAAGCACCGGCUAACUUCGUG
This 492-nucleotide ribosomal RNA is filed under the name uncultured bacterium. RNAcentral's name for it is "partial 16S ribosomal RNA". It matches the Rfam family "Bacterial small subunit ribosomal RNA", at positions 29 to 507 of the family's 1533-position model. The record is from RNAcentral.